Molecule: long non-coding RNA, 483 nt
Organism: Cucurbita moschata (crookneck pumpkin)
Lineage: Eukaryota; Viridiplantae; Streptophyta; Magnoliopsida; Cucurbitales; Cucurbitaceae
Exons: 2
Source: RefSeq, a predicted model, not a curated record
UAUCAAACCAUCUCAUUCAACUUUGAGCAAAAGUAAAAGGGAUUGAAGAAGAUGGAUGAAGAAAUCACUCUUCCAUCAGGUAAAUCCUCGUGGCCGGAACUCGUAUUCAUCGAAUCUUCCAUUGCAGUACAUCUUAUAAAGAAAGAUAAUCCUGAUGUAAAGACAAUCGUGCUAUUAGCUGGAACUGGAGGGACUAAAGAUUUUAGACACGAUCGAGUUCGAGUUUUUGUUAAUAUCAACGAUAAAGUCGUUGAAGUUCCUCAAGUUGGUUGAAAUAAUUUAAAUAUCUAUGUUUGAAACAAUUAAAACGGUGAUUAAAUAAGGUAGAAUAUGUCAUAAUAUUUGAAUUAUAUGUAUGGUUUAUUUGAAUGUUUGUGUGGCAUUUAAAUAUUUGUAUGCUCAUGGAAGCAACUGUUCUUUAAUGGCUUCAAGCUUUAAUUUUAACGUGAAUAAUUCCAAUUCAUCUAGUACUCUAUUACCAAA